RNAcentral lists this unclassified non-coding RNA (238 nucleotides) under uncultured Rozellomycota. RNAcentral describes it as "uncultured Cryptomycota sequence contains ITS2". Lineage: Eukaryota; Fungi; Rozellomycota. The record is from RNAcentral.
ACUCUCUUUCCACCUCCUUUGGGGGGCUGGAAGACUUUGUCGGCUGUGCGCUUAGGGUGCACUCUGAUUAAAUGGAGUAAGUCUGGAUCAGGCUGGUGGCCUGGGACAUUGUGUGCUAGAGACGUCGCUUCGGCUGACUGUCUUGUCACAAUGCGUCCUUGGCUAUUCAAAGCUGGCCUGAUACGCUGGGCUUUUUCAGUGGGCCCUCUCUCUUAGGGAAAGGGUCUACAACCCCCCU